RNAcentral lists this long non-coding RNA (402 nucleotides) under Lathyrus oleraceus (garden pea). RNAcentral describes it as "Pisum sativum (pea) long non-coding RNA (PSAT_LNC010814)". The record is from RNAcentral. Lineage: Eukaryota; Viridiplantae; Streptophyta; Magnoliopsida; Fabales; Fabaceae.
UCAAAUAAAUCUCAAAUCAAUUAAGAAAUUGAUGAGAGUAUUUUUCAUAGAUUCAUCAUCAUUCAAAGAUGUUAAGAAAAUAUUUUUGCGUUUUUUGAAUAUUGGAAACUAUUUAAAAUGAAUUAAAAAUAACCAGAAAAGAGAAAGUUCACAAAAAAUAUUAAAUGAACUCAUAAAAAAUAUUAAAAAUCAUUUUCAGAAACUAGAAUUAAAAAGGGAAAUAAUGCAAUUGGUCCCAUAUUUUUUGGAUUUAAAAUGAAGAAGAUAUGAAUUUUUGAAAUAAAAGGAAAUAAAAGAAAAUAAAAUGAAAAAAUCAUUUUCAGAAACUAGAAUUAAAAAGGGAAAUAAUGCAAUUGGUCCCAUAUUUUUUGGAUUUAAAAUGAAGAAGAUAUGAAUUUUUGA